Molecule: long non-coding RNA, 1307 nt
Organism: Talpa occidentalis (Iberian mole)
Lineage: Eukaryota; Metazoa; Chordata; Mammalia; Eulipotyphla; Talpidae
Exons: 8
Source: RefSeq, a predicted model, not a curated record
UCAUAAUUGCCUAGAGGAGCUGUAACAACACACCGCUCGGCCCCAUCCCUAGCCUCUGACCCUGGAGGUCAGGCAGGGUCCUGAGAAUUGACAUUUCUAACAAGUUUCCAGUGAUGCUGACAUUGAUGUAGGGAACACUGCUCUGACGUGAGAGGGUUAGUUACUAACUCAGAAGAUGGGGCAUGAAGCCCAGACUUGAGAUUAGAAUGUUACCACUUUGGAUUAGGGGUUCAAAGGGCUCCCCUGCUCCCUUGCAAGUCACCUGGGGAUAUUAUUGGCCUCAUUUCCAGAGAGAACUGAGGCUGGAAGCAGUAACUUGCCUAACAUCACCUAAUUCAUAGAGCAUCAGUAAAACAUGUCCAGACAAUGAAGCAGCUACUAGCAAAACUGGAAUACUAAUCCGGAGAGUCUGGCCACAGAAACCACCUUCUUCACCAGGACACAAUUCCACAUUCUUCUAUAAGAGGUAGUGACCACCUGCACUAGAAGGAAGGAGUCUUGAUUCCUGGAGGUUCUCUGUGUGGGCCAGAAACAUCCCCUUUACCACCCUCACUGACCUGCCUGGAUUGUGACAUGAGAGGAGGAUCAGCUCCCAGCCGUCACAAGCAGACUCGUGGAAUCUCACAUGAACCCGAAGUGAGAUAUGCAGCAGCUUCCAGGCAAGCUCUUUAGAAUCACCUAAUGUUGAGCCUGUGGGCUCUGAUGGUUGGAGAGAACUUCCUGGAGAUUCUUCACUAGCUCUCAGACUGCCUGACACCAACUUCUUUGGGCAACAGGCUGCUAUGUUUGGCUGAGGCUUCCCUCACCUCUCUGCUCACCCUUCCUGUGACAAUCCUUGAUCCUGUUUAUGGAUCAUUUCUUACUGAGGGAAUUGAGAAGGUGCUCAGCUGCAUUCGACGUUUCACAGCCUGCCUCAUGGGAACCCACACCCCUGGGUGGAGGUGCCAGUUGCUCUCUAGGAUCAAGAGUUCCACUCAGACCUUCAGCAGGUUCUAAAAGACUAGUAAAACUGCAUAGUCAAGACAUCUGUGAAAUAAAUGAAAAUGAUGAAGACUGGAAUUCAGUGAUUGCCUUUGAGUUGCUGUUAAUCUGGAAUCUAGAGUCCUGAGUCAGAUUUCCUUAUAUGGCCUCCAAUUUCUGUCACCAUUAUAACUGCCCUGACCCUUUUCUUCAUCAUAGGCUGGCCUCUCCCAUUAACCCUAAUUAAGUAUCAGGUGUCCGAGGGGCCCAGUGACAUCCUGUGGCAUUAACGGGUCAAUAUAGGGUCAGAAGGGAGGAAAGAGACAAGCACCUCCUUUUCUUCAUAC